Molecule: long non-coding RNA, 546 nt
Organism: Heterocephalus glaber (naked mole-rat)
Lineage: Eukaryota; Metazoa; Chordata; Mammalia; Rodentia; Bathyergidae
Source: Ensembl
CUAGCUAAACUAUCAGUCCUUACAAGUACAUGCUGCCGCUUUGAAAAACAAAAUACUCUUUCCACUAGGGAACUAAAAAGGGAAAUAUUUCAGGGAGAAAAAAAGUAAAUCUCAUAGUAAGGAACAGAAUGCACAAACAGAUGUAGAUAUGAUCAAGUUUGUAGUUUUAGUUGUCUUAUAUAAGUUUGGUUAGAAUCGUAACAACAAUAAGUCAUCUCAAAGGUAUCCUAAAGUGAAUAUGGACAGGCGUCUCUAUUGAAGAUCCUGAGAAGAGUAGAAGCUCCCCCUGAUGUAUCCUGCUCCAGAAAAUAUCUUGCCAUUAGAACUUUUGAAAGAUUUUUUUUUCUGACCAAUUUGCUACAAUUUCCUCCAUGGGCCUUAAAAUCCUCCCUCCUUUCAACUGUGUCUUCCAUCCAUGGUACGGAGCUGUUAGUUUUCCACAUGAACUUCAAAAAUCUAUCCAUCAGCUUCUACUCAGCGGACUGUAUUCUGGAUAAAUCAGCUUGACGCCUCAAAACCACGAAUUAUGUUGUAGAAAAUAGGAAG